GUGAGGAAUAUUGAGCAAUGGGCGCAAGCCUGACUCAGCAACGCCGCGUGGAUGAUGAAGGCCUUCGGGUUGUAAAAUCCUUUUCUGAGGGAAGAUAAUGACGGUACCUCAGGAAUAAGUUCCGGCUAACUACGUGCCAGCAGCCGCGGUAAAACGUAGGGGACGAGCGUUAUCCGGAUUUACUGGGCGUAAAGCGCAUGUAGGUGGCGCGGAAAGUUGGACGUGAAAGCUCCCGGCUUAACUGGGAGAGGUCGUUCAAAACUUCCGCGCUUGAGGUUGGAAGAGGAGAGCGGAAUUCCCGGUGUAGUGGUGGAAUGCGUAGAUAUCGGGAGGAACACCAGUGGCGAAAGCGGCUCUCUGGUUCACACCUGACACUGAGAUGCGAAAGCGUGGGGAGCGAACGGGAUUAGAAACCCGAGUAGUCC
Molecule: ribosomal RNA, 425 nt
Filed under: uncultured bacterium
Lineage: Bacteria
Description: bacterial SSU rRNA
Rfam family: Bacterial small subunit ribosomal RNA
Source: RNAcentral